CUUAAAUAUUUGUCCUGUAGAGACAAACACAGUCACUAUCAGAAAAAGCAGACUAGGAAAUGAGGGAGGUGCUCUCACAAGAGUGACAGUGCAAGAGACUGCUCAGAGUCACUUUACUCUGCCUUCGCCUCUUCUCUGCAGAACAUCCACCAUGUUUCUCCUUUGCUGGAUAUCAGUUUUAUUAUCGAUAGGAAAUUCCUUUGCAAAUACAAUACAACCAUUAUCCUCUGAAAAGCAUGUUGUCAGAGGUGAAAAAGUGAUUCUUUCCUGCGACUACAGUGGUGAUGUUAACAGUCUGCAGUGGUAUCGUCAAUAUCCUGGAUCUCGACCAGAGUAUCUCAUUCUCGUCACAGAAUAUUCAGAAACUGAUCUUUCACUUCGUCUGUCAGCAAAAGCUUCAAAAGACCUAAAACAAGUGAAUCUGACAAUCUCCUCUGCUGAAGAAACAGAUUCAGCUCUGUAUUACUGCGCCCUGAGGCCCACAGUGACAGGAAACACAUGAACACUGUACAAAAACCAUUUGUAUACAUAUAAUAAUUCUGAAUUUACAUGUAUUUUAAAGCCUUAACAAUGAAAACUUGAUGAUACACUAAAUAAAAUACUAAAUUAAAUUUCACAAGUGUAAACAUUUGUCCAAUGUCUUUCAACCAAUCAAUCAGCUGCAACAAAAUAAAACAAAGCACACUAUUAUCUUCACAUUAAAGAAAGAGUGACAUACAAAUAUGCCUCAACAUGUCUUCCUUUGUGAAAAAGAAGUGUGCUAAUGACAAUGGGUCUUAACAUUCUUAAGUGCACUUUAUAAAAAUGCACUUUAUGAUAAUGACUAAUUAAGUAUUACUUAAACAUACAUUUCACAUAAUUAUGAUUUUAUUUUAUUUAAAAUAAGUACACUUAUUUUUAUAUGUUUAUCAAUAUACUAAAGUACAUGUAAAAUAAUUGAUUUUAAUUUAAACUUUUGUGUGUUCUACAAAAUUACAUUUCUUAAUGUAUUUUAAAUGUAUUACUAUUUAGUCUAUAAUAUAAAGUGUACUAUGUGCAUUAAUGCAAUUAAUAAAAAUAAACUUCAAUACAUCACCAGCUCCUGCUCUAUGAAUUCUAUAAAUAAAAUUUUCUACAUAAUAUUUCAUCGAUUCAUUCAUUUCCAGGUCUAAAUUACAUAAUAAUUCCUAGAUUUUCAGACUUUUGAUUUUCUGACCUCAAUGUAUCCUGAAGCUAAACAUUUAUAGCAGUCUUUCAGUUUGACUCACAGGAGGAUGCUCUUCUGAUCUGAGAAGCUCCUUUAAUGCAGAACAGGAGUAAACACUAAUCCAGUGUUUAUUUUGUCUCUUUCUAUAUUACUCUAAUAAAUAACAAUAAAGAUUCCUGAUAAGCAACAUUUUUCAGUAGGCUACAGAAAAGUAUUUUAUGUAUGAAUAUGAGCUAUAACGUACAGUACAGUAACACAAAGAUAUUUGUUGUUGCCACAGGGUGGAGCUCUGAAGCCUGAUGUUAAACAGCAGAUCAAGCUAAAUGUGACUGAAUCAAGGUUGAGUUUGACACUUCAAGCUUUCAGACUACUGAGCAGUGACCAUGUUUACUGUUGUCUUCAUUGUAGUUUCACUGCUUAAGGGUAAGUAAUAGUUUGAUGUUCACUGUUGCAUUAACAUCAGUACCAGUAUUUAACAGUUAUGGUGAACAAUCAUUAUUUUAAAAGAUUUUCUCUUCUCUUCUUUUACAGACAGUGCUGAUGCAGAUACAAUAGAAUCUCUCUUACCAGAACAGCAUGUUUCAGUUGGACAAAGUGCUGUUAUCUCUUGCAAAUACAGUGGCAUUGGGCCCAGCUUUUAUUGGUACCGCCAAUAUCCAGGAUCCAGACCUGAGUACCUUAUUUUUAAUGCAGAGACUGGAGUUUCUUCCGAACCCUCUUUACGUCUCAAAGCACAGGCUAAAAAAGCGAUCACAGAAGUGGAACUGGAGAUCUCCUCUACUGAAGUCAAAGACUCUGCUGUAUAUUACUGCGCUCUGAAGCCCACAGUGACAGGAAACCCACCUGCUCUCUACAAAAACUUAAUACAUGAACACAUCUUGCAUUACACAAACAUUGUGACACACCAGCUUCAAAUCAACCACAACAGAUCAAUGAUGCAACUGUUCUUACUUUUCCAAAUGUAAAGAAAUAAUGUUUGGUCUUUUGAUUUUAAGAAAAGGACAAGCCAUGAGUGAAGAUGAAGUCUCAGGCAGAGGGUGGAGCGUGUUCACAAAGGUGAAUGUUUGAAAGGCUUAUUCAUUUAGUCAUCACUUUACAAUCACUCUUCAUCAGAAACCAUCAUGUUUCUGUUUUGUUGGAUACCACUGACAUUACUCAUGGGUAAAUAAUUUCAUUUAUGGUUUUAUUCUUGUUUACAAAAAAAUAUUUUCAUCUGUUUGAUUGUAUAUAAGUUGCUUAGUGUUCAUUUAAUUAAUAGUUUCAUCAAGAGUUGCAUUUUGUCCAAACAGGAAAUUCUUUUGCUGUAACAAUACAGCCAUUGUCUUCUGAAAGGAAUAUUUUCAGAGGCGAAAAUGUGACUCUGUCCUGUAACUACAGUGGUCUGGUAUACAAUCUUCAAUGGUAUCGGCAAUAUAUGGGAUCUAGACCAGAGUUGCUGAUACUUGUUAAUGAAAAUUCAGAGGAAUCUGAGCCUUCUCUUCGUCUGUCAGCAAAAGACUCAAAAGAGAAGAAACAAGUGAAUCUUACAAUCUCUUCUGCUGAAUUGUCAGACUCUGCUGUAUAUUACUGCGCUCUGAGGCCCACAGUGACAAGAAACACAAGAACACUGAACAAAAACCCUGAUUUCAGUCAGAUGAUUUUGUACUUCACUGUAAAAACAUUUGUGUGUGUGUGUGUGUGUGUGUGUGUGUGUGUGUGUGUGUGUGUGUUACUGAUUUUAUUCUAUUGUUUAACACUUCAGUGAAUAAUCCAACCAUAUUGUUUCAGAUAUAGAUAAAACUAUAAUAUCAUGUUUGAUUUCAGUUAGAAUAAAAAUGCAGAAUAUAUUCAUCAUAUUCCAGUAUAAGUUGGUAUUUUUAUAUGACUGUAUAUUAUAUUAUUUUAGUUUGUCUCUUUGGUAAGAAAGCUUCAGUAACUUAGUAAGUAAACUCAGUAAAUGUUGUACACUGGUUAAUUUGAUCACAUUUGUCUAUGAACUAAUGCUCAAAUAGAAACAUUGAGAAGCACUUUUAGAGGGAUGCAUUGAUUUGUGACAGUAAGAACCUUCUAACUUGGCAAAAGUCAUCAUCACAGGGUAAAAACACAAAUACUGUCCAAGUCCUCUGUGAGUGAUGAAGGUCUAAAUGUGUUUGUUUUCAUCCAGAAGAGGGCGUUCAUCUCUUUUCUGUAUCCCUCAUAAACACAAUGAGCUCAAGACUCGUCCUGGAAGGUGAAAUCACGCCACAGGGUGGAGCUCCAGACUUAAAUCACAGUGUUUCAGUUAAAAAAGGGUCACAUUUGAUCAUUUCAUUCCAUCAUGCUGCUCUGUGCACUUGUAAUAUUAUCAGUACUUGCAGGUGAGACUUAUUUAUUUCAUUUAAAUCACCAACUCUUUUGAUUUAAAACUGUUAGAAUUACAUUUAUCUGAUUGCAAUAUUGAAUUUAAUUUUCAGGAGUGUCUCUUGGUGAUCUAAUAACGUCUCAUGAUUCUGAAAAACGAGCUCAAGAUGGUAACAGUGUUGCUCUCUACUGUAACUACACUGGUGCUGUGUAUAAUCUACUGUGGUAUCGUCAGUAUCAAAGAUCCAGACCAGAACUCCUUCUCUCCAUGAGUGAAUCUGGAGAUCCAGUUAAAGCCGAUCCAUCAGCGCACUGGUUAUCAGCUAAAGUUGACAAACACAGAAAGCUCAUGGAACUGGAAAUCAGCCCUGCUAAAGUAUCAGACUCUGCACAGUAUUACUGUGCUCUGCAGCCCACAGUGACUGGAAAACCUUUUCUUCUGCACAAAAUCUUUCUGUAUAUGUAUUUGUAUAUUCACUGAUUCUUAACAAGCACAUGUUUCCUACAGUAUGAAUUAUUUCUGACUGCAUAAUUUAUCAGUAACACAAGCAUCUCUUUAGGAUCAAUAACUCAAAUCAAUUGUGAUGUUUCCUGGAAUAUUUGUAUAAUAUAAAUAUAAGUAUAACAUAAAAGAUCAAUAAAAAAGAGAUGAUGACAAAAAUGAAAUAAGAAAAAAGGCACAAAAAAUUUAAGAAAUGUGAACGUUUUCAGAAAAUGUUCAAUAAAGCUUUACAAUAUUCGUAUGCUUUUCUUUAAUAGACCUUGGCAGAAUCGCAGGU
Long non-coding RNA from Carassius auratus (goldfish), 4284 nucleotides. NCBI's taxonomy places the organism in Eukaryota, Metazoa, Chordata, Actinopteri, Cypriniformes, Cyprinidae. The record is from Ensembl.